RNAcentral lists this ribosomal RNA (496 nucleotides) under uncultured bacterium. RNAcentral's name for it is "partial 16S ribosomal RNA". It matches the Rfam family "Bacterial small subunit ribosomal RNA", at positions 30 to 523 of the family's 1533-position model. The record is from RNAcentral.
AUUGAACGCUGGCGGAAUGCUUUACACAUGCAAGUCGAACGGUAGAGGGGGCAACCCCUUGAGAGUGGCGAACGGGUGAGUAAUAUAUCGGAACGUGCCCAGUCGUGGGGGAUAACGUAGUGAAAAUUACGCUAAUACCGCAUACGAUCUAAGGAUGAAAGCGGGGGGUCGCAGGACCUCGCGCGAUUGGAGCGGCCGAUAUCAGAUUAGGUAGUUGGUGGGGUAAAGGCCCACCAAGCCAACGAUCUGUAGCUGGUCUGAGAGGACGACCAGCCACACUGGAACUGAGACACGGUCCAGACUCCUACGGGAGGCAGCAGUGGGGAAUUUUGGACAAUGGGCGAAAGCCUGAUCCAGCCAUUCCGCGUGCAGGAUGAAGGCCCUCGGGUUGUAAACUGCUUUUGUACAGAACGAAAAGGUUUCUACUAAUACUAGGAGCUCAUGACGGUACUGUAAGAAUAAGCACCGGCUAACUACGUGCCAGCCGCCGCCGUAA